Molecule: ribosomal RNA, 477 nt
Filed under: Anopheles maculatus
Lineage: Eukaryota; Metazoa; Arthropoda; Insecta; Diptera; Culicidae
Description: eukaryotic LSU rRNA
Source: RNAcentral
AUUUGUCUUGAAUGUGGAACUCAGGACACAUGAACACCGACACGUUGAACGCAUAUUGCGCAUCGGACGAUUCAACCCGACCGAUGCACACAUCCUUGAGUGCCUACUCAGUUAUCUUAUAUGGCCAUACCAGACUGACCUGUCCCUGUUUGACACCCGGGGGCGGGUCGCAGAAUGGCGUGCUCGGGCCCUGUAUAUGGGCCCGUGGGCGCUGAAAGCGAGAGUGCUAACACAUGAAACAGUGGUGGGUGCGUACGGGCGCGCGUCAAGUCGCAACGGUUCGACCUCCAGUAUCAACCAGGGAUGAAACCCCCGCAGCCUAACAGAUUAACACCAGGCGCUAGCAAAGGGGUCCCAGGUUGGCUCGGGUCGUGUAACACUUGCGGCCCAACGCGCCCAUACGUCCGCCACCGUCAUCUCGUAGCAAAGUAGGCCUCAAGUGAUGUGUGACUACCCCCUAUUUUUUAAGGCAAUAAA